CAUGCAAGUCGAACGAAGAUGCCGGAGUGCUUGCACUUUGGCAGACUGAGUGGCGGACGGGUGAGUAACGCGUGGGUAACCUGCCUUAUACAGGGGGAUAACAGUUGGAAACGACUGCUAAUACCGCAUAAGCGCACGGUAUCGCAUGAUACAGUGUGAAAAACUCCGGUGGUAUAAGAUGGACCCGCGUCUGAUUAGCUUGUUGGUGAGGUAACGGCCCACCAAGGCGACGAUCAGUAGCCGGCCUGAGAGGGUGAACGGCCACAUUGGGACUGAGACACGGCCCAAACUCCUACGGGAGGCAGCAGUGGGGAAUAUUGCACAAUGGGGGAAACCCUGAUGCAGCGACGCCGCGUGAGUGAUGAAGUAUUUCGGUAUGUAAAACUCUAUCAGCAGGGAAGAUAAUGACGGUACCUGACUAAGAAGCACCG
This 431-nucleotide ribosomal RNA is filed under the name uncultured bacterium. RNAcentral describes it as "bacterial SSU rRNA". It matches the Rfam family "Bacterial small subunit ribosomal RNA", at positions 54 to 495 of the family's 1533-position model. The record is from RNAcentral.